This 71-nucleotide transfer RNA is filed under the name Shinella curvata. RNAcentral describes it as "tRNA-Leu". It matches the Rfam family "tRNA". Rfam says of the family: Transfer RNA (tRNA) molecules are approximately 80 nucleotides in length. Their secondary structure includes four short double-helical elements and three loops (D, anti-codon, and T loops). The record is from RNAcentral. RNAcentral also lists the same sequence under 2 other names. Lineage: Bacteria; Pseudomonadati; Pseudomonadota; Alphaproteobacteria; Hyphomicrobiales; Rhizobiaceae.
CAUUGGAUAGCUCAGUGGUAGAGCAUCAGAUUUAGAUUCUGAAGUCGAAGGUUCAAAUCCUUCUCCAACAG